Long non-coding RNA from Ipomoea nil (Japanese morning glory), 176 nucleotides. RefSeq lists it as uncharacterized. NCBI's taxonomy places the organism in Eukaryota, Viridiplantae, Streptophyta, Magnoliopsida, Solanales, Convolvulaceae. The record is from RefSeq and is a predicted model, not a curated record. The transcript has 3 exons.
GAGCAAAUAGGGAACUAUGCUACAAUGGCAGCAGGUCCCAAUUAGAUGGAUGGGAUGGCAUUUCACUUGAAUAUUCUAUUGAAUGGUCAUUGCAGUUGUUCAUUACACAGGAAGUACUCUCAAAAAUCAGCAUUUGUUGCAGAUGCUAGCUGAAAGAGAUGAACUUAAUAUCAAGG